This 705-nucleotide long non-coding RNA is filed under the name Amborella trichopoda. Its description in RNAcentral is "long non-coding RNA (ATRI_LNC003334)". The record is from RNAcentral. Lineage: Eukaryota; Viridiplantae; Streptophyta; Magnoliopsida; Amborellales; Amborellaceae.
CCUUCCAAGCUAUGUAAAUAAUAUUUUCUAGAAAUCAUUAACAAAUCAAGAUACUAGCUUCUAUUUGCAAAUUUGGAAAGAAGGAUACAUAUAUGCAUAUACACGCAUAUGUACGUGUUUGUGCUUACACAUUCACAAAUUUGAAAAUUUGAAAAUAAAAGAAAUCUUCCAACUUGGUGUGUAAAUCAGUGUGUCAUUGUUCAUAUGACCACUAUAAAACCAAACAACCAUCCCUAACUAUCUAUGCUUUUGACUCUUGGAAUCACAUGCUUUUAACAUGAACUUGAGAAUAACAUGUUACUAUUGUGAUAAGUUUCGCGUUCUUUUUUUUUUCUUAAAAUUUGCAUUAUAAAAUGCCUUUCAAAUGUCUCUUUGAAUGUAACUUGUGCUAAUUUGUGAGACCAAAUUCAAAAACCAGAAAAGUUAGGGGAAGUUUGGUUAGUAAAUUAGACAUGCUAAUUUCCAAAAAAGUUAGGAGAAGUUUGGUUAGUAAAUUAGACAAAUAGGUUCCUGCUUGUGUCACAUCACACAAGAAAAUAUAGUGGGCAUUGGAGGACAUUGAAGAUGUAUAUUAAUUUAAGUGCUUUGUUUAUUUUAUUAUUAUGGUGAUUUUUCUUUAAUUCAUUUAUUGUGAUUAUGCCAUAUAAUUUUUAAAAUGUAAUUAUCUUGUAUAAUUUCCCAAAUAAUAACAUUUUUAAAAUUUCU